UACGUAGGGGGCAAGCGUUGUCCGGAAUCAUUGGGCGUAAAGCGCGUGUAGGCGGCCCGAUAAGUCCGCUGUGAAAGUCCAGGGCUCAACCCUGGGAUGCCGGUGGAUACUGUCGGGCUCGAGUCCGGAAGAGGAGUGUGGAAUUCCUGGUGUAGCGGUGAAAUGCGCAGAUAUCAGGAGGAACACCAAUGGCGAAGGCAGCACUCUGGGACGUGACUGACGCUGAGACGCGAAAGCGUGGGGAGCAAAUAGG
This 253-nucleotide ribosomal RNA is filed under the name uncultured bacterium. RNAcentral's name for it is "partial 16S ribosomal RNA". It matches the Rfam family "Bacterial small subunit ribosomal RNA", at positions 524 to 776 of the family's 1533-position model. The record is from RNAcentral.